RNAcentral lists this long non-coding RNA (4217 nucleotides) under Canis lupus familiaris (dog). RNAcentral describes it as "lncRNA (ENSCAFG00040010338.1)". Lineage: Eukaryota; Metazoa; Chordata; Mammalia; Carnivora; Canidae. The record is from RNAcentral.
AUGCUCCUCAUGUGGACUUCUGCUCUUAAAGGGUGGGCUCACCUCAGCCAGCUUCCUGCCUGGUCAGAGAAGGACAGUGGAGGAGGCCCAGCUGGACCCUCUCCGCUUGGCCACUGUAGCAGUUGCCAGAUAUCUUCAUUUUUAACCAUCUACCCUGCAUACUUUGAGGAAGACUGGCACAGACCCUAUGGACCGCCUUCUAGAAGUAAGUUUCUGGGCCAGGUUCUUUUGAGAAGCAGGGCUCGAGGGGAAGAGAUAGGGAGCUCCUACUGGCCCAUUCUGGGAGCAGUGGCAACCCUGACCUGAACAUCCAGUCUCUGGCACUGGAGGGGGAAGAGGUAUGUAAGGUGGUACAGGUCCCGGCAUGCAGAAACUGUGGCUUCCCCUAUCUACAGAGCAAAGCAUCCUCCUUCAAAAGCAUGAUUCCCCCCUGCCAAAAAAAAAAACAUGGGCCACCCCUGGGUCCCAUUCUAUAAUGAGGAAGAGAGGCCACUCACAUCUGUGAAGCACAGCUUGUGUUUAGAAGUGCCUGUCUGGCUUACCUUUAUGUGAUUCUGUAAAUGGGGAGCAGAAGCAUCUGAGAUCCAGAUGGGCAUGUGACUUGCGGAGCUUUCUGCUCAGAUGGCUUUACCAGGAGCAGGGGCUAGAAGCUGACCUUAGCUACCUCUCCUUUUCUCUCUUCAUCACCCCUGCCAACCCUGAGCUCCUGACAGUUCACCCUGUGUUUUCAGGCUCACUGGAGAGCCAGGAGCUGGAGUACAAACCAUUUAUGUUCCUUGUGCAUUGGUCCUCAUUCAUGAGCAGCACAGCUGUCUGGGAGUGGGAGAAUUGGAUAACCCAACAUGUGGCCCAUUUUUGUUUCCUCUCCUCCUUCAAAUAGUCCAAGAAAGAGCAUGUGUGAGUUGGUCCCACUAGGCCUUCAUUCCAGGACAUCAAAAUAUUGAUCUGGGUCCGGGGUCUCUUGCUGCAUCUGUGAGACCUGAAGGUCUUUCCUAUCAACAGUAAAAAUGAAGAACAAAUAUCAAAGACAUAGUAGCCUAAGCCCAGCUCCUACCUAUGCGGCUGGCCCAGCUGUAUAAUUAAGUAGCAGAAUUACUCUGAUGGGCUCUCCUUUUCUUUGGUUUUGCUUUUGUUUGUCCUCCUAUUUGACUAUUGUCACUUUCUCAAGGCAAAUACCCACCCUGCACUCCAUUUGAAGGUUGGCAUCCCCCUCACUUAAGGUGAGGUCAGCCUGGCAGAUAGCACAUUGAGAAGUGUAUUCAGCAUCUGUGCAGCACCGCUUUGAAUUAAAGACAUUAUCUUAUAUGAUGUGACUGCAUCAAGAAUGAUCAUCCCAGAAACAAAUGGGUGUGUGCUCACAUUUUAACAGGAAAACUCAAUUUUGAUGAAAUCCACACACUGAAUUCUGGCAAGAUUUUGUCUUAGUAUAUUCAGGCUGCUAUACCACUGUAGCACUGGCUGGCUCAUAAACUAAUUUAUCUCAGGUCCGGAGGCUGGGAAGUCCAAGAUCAAGGUACCUGCAGAUUUGGUGCCUGGUGAGGACUUCCUGGUUCACAGUGGGUGCCUUCUCACUGUGUCCUCACAUGGUGGAAGGGGCGAGGGAACUCUCUGGAGUCUAUUCUGUAAGGGCACUAAUCCCACUCAUGAGGGCUCCAACCUCCUGACCUAAUCACCUUCCAAAGGCCCCACCUCCCAAUACCCUCCCAUUUGGGUUAGGAUUUCAACAUAUAAGCAUGGGGGGGGGGUGGACAUAAAUAUUCAGUCCAUUGAACUUUUUCUACAAGUGUAGAAAAUAUAGAUAAUCUUUUGUAAUUGUGACUUUAACUACUAGUGACCAUUCAAGACCUGUCUAUGACUCCAUUAUUUGCAAUCACAGCUCAAAAUAUGCAUAAAUCUAAGAUGAUGGAAUGGCAAUUAGCUGUGUUAUUGGAAGAUUACAAAGUUAGUUAUGCUACUAAAACCCCAAGGUGUUACCAUGAGGCUGCCGACCUCACCCCCCACCUGCGGAGCCAACGGCAGCUGGGAGACCCUGGGCUUAGAGACUGAACACUGGCCAGGUAUUGUGGGCUCAUUCUCAUUUUCUCUUUAAGGUCAGUUAUAAUUUUCCUUAGAGAAUUAAAAACCCUAGGAAGCCUGGGUGGCUUAGUGGUUGAGCAUCUGUCUUUGGCUCAGGUCGUGAUCCUGGGUCCUGGGAUCGAGUCCCACAUAGGGCUCCCCAGAGGGAGCCUGCUUCUCCCUCUUCCUAUGUCUCUGCCUCGUUCUCUGUGUUUCUUAUGAAUAAAUAAAUAAAAUCUAUUUUAAAAAGGAAAGAAAAUUGAAAACACAAUAUGAACAGUAAGAAAUGAAAGGGAAAUAUUCUGCAGCCCCCAGCACAAACACAAGUAAUCAAGUUAAUAAAUUUGCUUCCAUUUUUCAUGGCCUUAUUCAAGGUAUCCCCUCUAAAAAGAAAAAUGUCUUUAGAGCAGUGCUCUUUUCAAUAGCCAAGGAAUGGCAACAACCCAGACGUCCAUGAAUGGCUGAGUUCCUCCAGUGGAAUAUCAGUGAGGCAUUCAUAGGAAUGAAGUUCAGAGACUACUGACUGCACCCUUUAAAAGAUGAAUUUUAGGGUGUGUGAAUUAUAUCUCAUUUGAAAAAAGAAAAGAAAAGAAAGAAAGAAAGAAAGAAAGAAAGAAAGAAGAAAGAAAGAAAGAAAGAAAGAAAGAAAGAAAGAAAGAAAGAAAGAAAGAAAGAAAGAAAGAAAAAGAAAGAAAGAUAGAUAGAUCACUUCCUACUCUGUUCCCGGGACUCUGGUCUGGAGGAUGGUGUUACUGUGGCCCAGGGAGGGUCCCUGGAUAGAACAAGGCUGGAGAUCUGGGAUCUGGGGAGGAGGGAACUCGCCCAGGGGAGCAGGGGACGUGGGUUCUAAUGACCCCCCAAGCAUGUCCUGCAGGCCAGCCCUGUCACCUCCUGGGGACUGUAUCAAUAAAGCAAAGAAAUCAGAUCUUGAAGCUCUUAUAAGCACUGUCAUUGGAGUCUCAUGUUGUCAUCCCCAUUUUACAGAUGUGGAAACUGAGGCCUAGUGCCUGAAGGGCAGCCAUGCAAUGGGUCCCUACUUGAGGCUCCUACUGGUUGUCUUUGCUGUAGGGGCCAGUGAGGCAGGGUCUGUCCUGCAAGAGUCUCCCUGAGGGGCCAGAGCAGGAGUAUCAGCCAAACCACUCAAAAAUGGCCUGUUGGGUGGGGCUCAUGGUGGGGUGAGUGAGUGGCAGGUGGAGUCAGAAGGAACAAUUGUGGAGUUUUAACGCUUGUGCACACAAAGAUGGGUGGUUUGCGACAGUGCUUUGGCAAGGAAGUUAUUUGAUUCUUGGGUUUGGAGAGUUGCCAGGCCCAUAGGUGCUCCCAGAAACCAGGCAAGGGUAGGUCAGGGGCAUGUGUGGGGACCCACUGCUACCUGCAACUGUCCAAGGAUGUCUGCUGGUGUCCCAUGUAGCCAGGGCAUUCCAGAGAAGCCAGAAGUCAAGAUUUUCAGAUGUAAUCUCCCUCUCAGUUAAUAAUGGCAACUAAUUCUUGUCUUUUUUUUUUAAGAUUUUAUUUAUUUAUUCAUUAGAGAUACAGAGAGAGAGAGAGGCAGAGGGAGAAGCAGGCUCCCUGCGGGCAGCCUGAUGCAAGACUCGAUCCCAGGACCCCAGGAUCACGACCUGAGCCAAAGACAGACACUCAACCACUGAAUCACCCAGGGUUCCCAGGGGUUUUAAUUCUCUAAGGAAAAUUAUAACUGACCUUAAAAAGAAAAUGAGAAUGAGCCCACAAUACCUGGCCAGUGUUCAGUCUCUGUUAAUUUUGGCCCAAGAAACAGGGCCACUGAGUAAACAGAGACUUGCCUGACAGUAAACCAGCUCUUACAUAUUGGAAGCCACUUCCCAAGGUUGAUCACAUCUGCCCAGGCCAAAAGCCACUCCCUAUUGUCUUGGCCUGCCUCCUGCCUUCCCCUGUCGCUUGCACCUCCUCUUCCACCACGAGUUGGAGUUGUUGGCCCCAAUCCCCACCCCUCAACUCCCCUCCUUCCAAACUCCACCCCUGACUCCCAUCAUGCCAUCCCAGCCCCACCUUCUCAAGGGUGUCCCCCUGCAGACUCCCCCUCCCUCCUGCAACUCUCCUAAAGGGUCAUCCCUACUGUGUGUACAAGUUCCAGAAAGUCAAAUUCUCCUGACUCUUUGCACCCCUCUAGCUUCCACCACUUC